RNAcentral lists this non-coding RNA (21 nucleotides) under Arabidopsis thaliana (thale cress). Lineage: Eukaryota; Viridiplantae; Streptophyta; Magnoliopsida; Brassicales; Brassicaceae. The record is from RNAcentral.
UCGUUCUCACCUGCAAUGUCU